AGGUGCAGAGUAGAGCCCUGUGCAAGAUUAUACUCUAUGUCCCACUCCCACUGAAAUUCUGACCAUUCCCGUCUGUGCCCGCAACGUGUUACAGUCCCGCCUGCUCCCACAAUGGGUGUGUCCAGUCCUGCUCGUACCCGCAAAUCGCUGAGCGCACAACAAUAGCGAUGCAUCGAUUUUGUGUAUUCUUCCAUCCUGUGGGAGAAAACAUGUCAUUUAGGCUAUUAAUAAAGAAAUUCUUGGGAUUGUUUGUCUCGUUGAAUCCCUGGCCUCUCAGAGAGAGAGAA
This is a long non-coding RNA of Thalassophryne amazonica, 287 nucleotides long. RefSeq lists it as uncharacterized. The transcript has 3 exons. NCBI's taxonomy places the organism in Eukaryota, Metazoa, Chordata, Actinopteri, Batrachoidiformes, Batrachoididae. The record is from RefSeq and is a predicted model, not a curated record.